Symphalangus syndactylus (siamang) is the source of this 1592-nucleotide long non-coding RNA. RefSeq lists it as uncharacterized. The record is from RefSeq and is a predicted model, not a curated record. Lineage: Eukaryota; Metazoa; Chordata; Mammalia; Primates; Hylobatidae.
GGUGGUUCUGCUCCUGAGGCCUGGACGGGGGCUCCUCCUGCGGAGACUGGGCCCAGCUGAGCCUGUGGGUCCACCUCUCGAUUGCCCAAGUUUGCAUCUAUCCAGUGACAAGGACCAUCUCCUUGGAGCUGGGGCUGAUGCGGGGGCUAGGACAGUUUGAGUGGAGGUGGCUGUGGGCCUUCCAGGCCCAGGACCCUGCCUGUGCCCUGGCAGGUGGACUCGCUCUGCCUUCCGUUUUUGUUUUUUUUUUUUUGAGAUGGAGUCUCGUUCUGUCACCCAGGCGGGAGUACAGUGGUGCGAUCUUGGCUCACUGCAACCUCCACCUCCCAGGUUCAAGCAGUUCUCCCACCUCAGCCUCCAGAGUAGCUGGGAUUACAGUCAUCUGCCACCACGCCUAGCUAAUUUUUGUAUUUUUAGUAGAGACGGGGUUUCACCAUGUUGGCCAGGCUGGUCACAAACUCCUGACCUCAGGUGAUCCACCUGCCUCGGCCUCCCAAAGUGCUGGGAUAUAGGCAUGAGCCACUUGCGGCCAGCCUUGCUCUGCCUUCCUGACAGUGCAGACCUCGCUCCUGGAGGGCUAGACCCCUCCGACUCGCCCUAAAGUCUCUCAGCAACUAGAAUGCACGGGGCCAUUCGGAACACUUACAUCUGGAAAGGUGAAGGAGGGGUUGGCCGCCCCUCCACGGCUCUGCCAUCUUCCGGCUCUUUCUCUAAGGCCUGUCCUUUGAGUUCCUAGAUGAAUACCCAGCAAGUCACAGUUCAGGCCUAGCAGCCGACUGGCCAACGGCCAAGAGCAGCCUACCACUGCAGCCUUCCAGGAGAGAGGCCCACCACUGCGGCCCCCAGGAGAGAGGCCCACCACUGCCGCCCCCCGGGAGAGAGGCCCACCACUGCCGCCCCCCGGGAGAGAGGCCCACCACUGCCGCCCCCCGGGAGAGAGGCCUACCCUCUGCGGCCCGCCGGGAAGGCACUGUUUCUGCCGUCCCCCAUGUCUGAGGUUCCCAAGGCCACGGGGACCCCACCAGUGCAGGCCCACAUUCAGGUAGGGGAGGCUCACACUGUGCCCCUCCCACGUGGCCACACGGGGUCAGGCCAGUGGCUGAUGUGCUCCUUGCUGUCAUUAUCCUACUUUCUUUUUUUUUUUUUGAGACGGAGUCUCGCUCUGUCGUCCAGGCUGGAUUGCAGUGGCGCAAUCUCGGCUCAUUGCAAGCUCCGCCUCCCGGGUUCACGCCAUUCUCCUGCCUCAGCCUCUCUGAGUAGCUGGGACUACAGGCGCCCGCCACUAUGCCCGGCUAAUUUUUUUUGUAUUUUUAGUAGAGACGGGGUUUCACCGUGGUCUCGAUCUCCUGACCUCGUGAUCCACCCGCCUCGGCCUCCCAAAGUGCUGGGAUUACAGGCGUGAGCCACCGUAUCCUACUUUCAAGACUCACCUGCUUCCUCCGUAGAGGUCGCAAAGAGCCCUCGAGGCCCAGCCACAGACACCUGCCUGAGCCCUCAGCAGCUGGUGGCCCAGCAGUGUGGUCACGACGCCCUCUCUGCAAACGCCCUCCCCAGAGGGUUUCAUGCCGGACUCUGCUGCCCUUACCUUGACG